Molecule: long non-coding RNA, 1285 nt
Filed under: Toxoplasma gondii VEG
Lineage: Eukaryota; Apicomplexa; Conoidasida; Eucoccidiorida; Sarcocystidae
Source: RNAcentral
CGUCGAAGAGGGAGAAACUUCUGACGAAACCCUCGACUCCGUCGAAUUGAGCGCGUGCAGAAACUUCACAUCGCGCAGGCAUCGCGAAGAAACGCAGAAAAGAACGCUAGCGCCCAUCUGCAGUCGGCGACAGACAUGUUCCGGAUCUGUCGUCCCCAUGAUCGGGAUUGCUUCCCCGUUGUUUUCUCCUUAGCCGUGGCCUUUGUGCCGAUCGGAGUCAGUGGCCGAACGCGAGGGGUAAGCGCGAGGAAGAAAUCGACGGCAAAGUGUGCAGCAGGGUCGUCGACAGACAAGAGAGGAAACUCGCCGGAGCAGUGUGUCGACAUGCUGGUGUUAACGAAUCCACGGUGAUUCUCCCGUGGAUGUCCUCUGCCUCUGCAUUUAAACGUGACUCUCAGCCUUCCUUUAAACUGCUGUUGCGGAGUCGUGGAGCGCUCUCUUUCCUGACUUCUGCGCUGGAACAGGUAAAGUCCGUUCACAGGGUCCCCUCACCUCAGACGGCUGGUCUCCUGGUCUAGACGCAAUGCCGCGAGAUUCUUUUUCUCGGAGGAGACGGUGAAGAACGCGGGAGAAGGGGGUCUCUGUGUCUGCUUGAAGAAGAAAGGAAACACAGCCAGGCAGGUUCCCUCUGCAGAGAACUGAGAAACGUUCCGCGAGGGCUAUCGCCACUCUGGUAAGACGCAGGGACGUGAUACUUCCUCGAAAGUGAAGGGGAAGAAAUCGUGUUUUUUCUCGUGGUCAGAGAACGAGAAGGGAGUCGAGGUUUGCAGGCAAGCACUUCCAAACGUUUCGGAACGUCAGACAAGGCGGCAUUUGAGCAACUUCUGGUUGCAGUGCCGCACAGUCCACCUCAGUGGUCGUCCGUGAUCUCGCUCUUAGACAAGUGUGUACCGCUGCACCUAGUUCUCCCACAACCGCCGCGAGGACGUUCGGUGAAAACUGUUUAGUGAACAUGUCUUCUGCUUCUGCCGACAGUGUUCCGAGCGACGGCUUUCAGCGCGGAGGCAUGUUCGCAUGCUAUUCAGACACUCUCCGAGCACGCAGCGACUACGAAAGGAGAAUCCACCGCAGCUGUCUCCGCAGAGACUUGCGAAGACUGUGGCAAGGUGCUGUUCUCAGAAGAGUCCUGAGAUGGCGUCCGCAACGCAGCGGGCUUCGAGUGCACACGAGACUAUACGGACCCUUUCGGAAACGCCGAGUGGUGCGCGCUGCCGCAGCGAAAGAGAGAGGAUUUCCGAGGACUGAUUCGCGUCAAGUUAAACAGAAAAAAGUAAAGUGUGCAGGC